AAUGAACGCUGACAGAAUGCUUAACACAUGCAAGUCGAUGGGGAAGUGGUGCUUGCACCAUGGUAACCAUGGCGGACGGGUGAGUAACGCGUAAGGGACUUGCCCGCGGGACCGGGAUAACAGCAGGAAACUGCUGACAAGACCGGAUAAGGUCAUGGAGCCGCAUGGUUACAUGAUGAAAGGAGACGCCUGCGGAGAGCCUUGCGUCCUAUUAGCUAGUUGGGGGGGUAACGGCCCACCAAGGCGAAGAUAGGUAGCCGGCCUGAGAGGGUGGACGGCCACAAGGGGACUGAGAUACGGCCCUUACUCCUACGGGAGGCAGCAGUGGGGAAUAUUGGACAAUGGGGGCAACCCUGAUCCAGCAAUUCUGUGUGCACGAAGACGGUUUUCGGAUUGUAAAGUGCUUUCAGCAGGGAAGAAGUAAGUGACGGUACCUGCAGAAGAAGCGACGGCUAAAUACGUGCCAGCAGCCGCGGUAAUACGUAUGUCGCGAGCGUUAUCCGGAAUUAUUGGGCAUAAAGGGCAUCUAGGCGGCCUGACAAGUCAGGGGUGAAAACCUGCGGCUCAACCGCAGGCCUGCCUUUGAAACUGACAGGCUGGAGUACCGGAGAGGUGGACGGAACUGCACGAGUAGAGGUGAAAUUCGUAGAUAUGUGCAGGAAUGCCGAUGAUGAAGAUAGUUCACUGGACGGUAACUGACGCUGAAGUGCGAAAGCCGGGGGAGCGAACAGG
RNAcentral lists this ribosomal RNA (732 nucleotides) under uncultured Leptotrichia sp. Its description in RNAcentral is "bacterial SSU rRNA". It matches the Rfam family "Bacterial small subunit ribosomal RNA", at positions 28 to 776 of the family's 1533-position model. The record is from RNAcentral. Lineage: Bacteria; Fusobacteriati; Fusobacteriota; Fusobacteriia; Fusobacteriales; Leptotrichiaceae.